Otolemur garnettii (small-eared galago) is the source of this 131-nucleotide small nucleolar RNA. Its record names the gene SNORA72. It matches the Rfam family "Small nucleolar RNA SNORA72". Rfam says of the family: U72 is a member of the H/ACA class of snoRNAs. Lineage: Eukaryota; Metazoa; Chordata; Mammalia; Primates; Galagidae. The record is from Ensembl.
CUGUAAAUAUUCUUGCCUUUCUGGUUUUAUAAUAAGCAGGACAGGAUAAACAUUCCAAAUAUAAAAACCAUGCAUGUGUUUCCAGACCCGGUUCUUUCCCUAGUAUAGUUUUAUAAAUGUUGGUGAGAAAC